RNAcentral lists this small RNA (120 nucleotides) under Serratia sp. Tan611. RNAcentral describes it as "frnS". It matches the Rfam family "Fumarate/nitrate reductase regulator sRNA". Lineage: Bacteria; Pseudomonadati; Pseudomonadota; Gammaproteobacteria; Enterobacterales; Yersiniaceae. The record is from RNAcentral.
GCAGGUGAAUGCAACGUCAAGCGAUGGGCGUUGCGCUCCAUAAUUGUCUUACUUUCUUAUUUUUAGAAUUACUGCAUAGCAAAUUUGAUUCACACGAUGCCGGUGUUAUCACCGGCAUUU